GCCAGGUGUGGUGGCGCACACCUGUAAUCCCAGCUACUCGGGAGGCUGAGGCAGGAGAAUUGUUUGAACCCAGGAGAUGGAGGUUGCACUGAGUCAAGAUCAUGCCCCUGCACUCCAGCCUGGGUAACAGAGCAAGACUCCGUCUCAG
This 148-nucleotide non-coding RNA is filed under the name Homo sapiens (human). Lineage: Eukaryota; Metazoa; Chordata; Mammalia; Primates; Hominidae. The record is from Rfam by way of RNAcentral.